Long non-coding RNA from Amphimedon queenslandica, 392 nucleotides. RefSeq lists it as uncharacterized. The transcript has 3 exons. NCBI's taxonomy places the organism in Eukaryota, Metazoa, Porifera, Demospongiae, Haplosclerida, Niphatidae. The record is from RefSeq and is a predicted model, not a curated record.
ACUAUAGAUGGUCUAUCAGCCCAAGACAUUGGCAAUGAUAAGGAAGAAGGGUCAGUACUGGUUAGUGUACCAGUCAAUGCUACCCAGAGGGUGAGGAGUGUCACAGCUGUGCAACAUACUAACAGCACCGAGCCUGAUAAGAAAAGUACUGAAAAGUACAAGAGGUUGGAGGCGGUCUAUUUAGGAUCUCGUUUUGUGACGUCACCUCACGGAAUAAGAGUAGUGAACGAGUCAGUGUCGUAUCUAUCAAGAGACAAAUCAAAAUGGAUACCAGUUUAUGUUGAUGUGGCUUCUUCCCAUAUUAGGAUAUUGGAUACUAAAAAUGAGAUAGUAUUAAAAGAACACCGGAUUAGGUUCCUGUCAUUCCUUGGAAUAGCUCACGAUGACCAGUA